AUUGCCCCUAGAAGAGAUGCAGGUGCAGCUGCUGUGUCACGAGUGCAUUGGCAGGAGGCAGAGAGGAGGAGGCCAUGUCUGCGUUCAAUGUUCUGACCCGUGAGUGUUUGAAUGAUUAGUAUCCUAACACU
Arvicanthis niloticus (Nile rat) is the source of this 131-nucleotide small nucleolar RNA. RefSeq annotates it as small nucleolar RNA SNORA17. NCBI's taxonomy places the organism in Eukaryota, Metazoa, Chordata, Mammalia, Rodentia, Muridae. The record is from RefSeq and is a predicted model, not a curated record.